Molecule: non-coding RNA, 175 nt
Organism: Anopheles gambiae str. PEST
Lineage: Eukaryota; Metazoa; Arthropoda; Insecta; Diptera; Culicidae
Rfam family: drz-agam-2-2 ribozyme
Source: Rfam
AGCAAUACCUCGCUGAUACGGGGGUGAAUCCGAAGCCUCUAGAAGGUUAACAAAGGCUCUCCACCUCCUACACCUACUCAUUCCCCGUCGUACAGAAUUUUAACAUGUCUCUCAAUUAUCCAAGCUUCUGAAUCAGGGCAAUAUCUGGAUGAGAUUGCCAGCGCCAUCAAACAGU